This 825-nucleotide long non-coding RNA is filed under the name Macaca mulatta (Rhesus monkey). RNAcentral's name for it is "lncRNA (ENSMMUG00000058202.1)". The record is from RNAcentral. Lineage: Eukaryota; Metazoa; Chordata; Mammalia; Primates; Cercopithecidae.
CAAUGAAGUUGUUGUUUCACGGAUUGAUUGUGUCAACAUCCAUGGAGUCCUUACCAUGUGCCAGUAACUGGGCAAAGUGCUGAGGACACAAAAGUAAAAAGGACAGCCUGUGUCCUCCUUCAGAUCUCGUGACCCUGGCAAGCGGGCAGCUGGGUCCCCGCAGGACAGAGGUCUGGGAGAAUUGCUGGUGUUUGCGCACGUGCAAGUGCCUGCAGACUGCAGAGUGCAAAGCCAAGAAGCGGCAGAGGAUGGAGACCAGAGGCAAAGCAAGGAUUCAGAUUAAUGGACAGCCCUGUCGGAGUCAAACAAAGACCCAGCCUGGGAAGCCAACACCAGGUUAUCUUCCCUCUGUGGCCUCCAGCGGGUCACCCUGUGAUGCUGCAGUUCCCCAGUCUUUGCAAACGGGGGAGAGAUGACUACUGACUUCCGCGAUGAUUCAUGCUGGUUGUUUACAGCAGAGAAGGAGGCAGUGCGGUGCCUGCACGUCUUGGAAUUAGCCGAGCUGUGAGGGUGCACCGAGGCCAGCACCGGGCUUCCCGGGAGCUGACAACCGUGCAAAGCACCGGGCCAUGGGGCAGUGUUCCAUUUUGUUUCCUCUGGACAGCUGGCAAGAUGGAGUCCCUCGGAGGACUUAACCUAGUGCUUUCACGUCAAAGGAGAAAAAAGGAGUCAUUCCCCCAUACAACGUGGAAGACCCAAAGGUUCAGAGGACCCGUCAUCUGUGUAGAGUGGAUGGGCUCUUCUGACUGGGGGGUGUCUCGGCUCCAGAGCUCACCACUGUCCUGUACCUGGGGAAGAAGCAUCCAUGCAUAUAAAUUAGGCUGA